This 497-nucleotide ribosomal RNA is filed under the name uncultured bacterium. RNAcentral describes it as "partial 16S ribosomal RNA". It matches the Rfam family "Bacterial small subunit ribosomal RNA", at positions 28 to 507 of the family's 1533-position model. The record is from RNAcentral.
GAUGAACGCUGGCGGCGUGCCUAAUACAUGCAAGUCGAGCGAACAGACGAGGAGCUUGCUCCUCUGACGUUAGCGGCGGACGGGUGAGUAACACGUGGAUAACCUACCUAUAAGACUGGGAUAACUUCGGGAAACCGGAGCUAAUACCGGAUAAUAUAUUGAACCGCAUGGUUCAAUCGUGAAAGAAGGUUUUGCUGUCACUUAUAGAUGGAUCAGCGCCGCAUUCGGUAGUUGGUAAGGUAACGGCUUACCAAGGCGACGAUGCGUAGCCGACCCGAGAGGGUGAUCGGCCACACUGUAACUGAGACACGGUCCAGACUCCUACGGGAGGCAGCAGUAGGGAAUCUUCCGCAAUGGGCGAAAGCUUGACGGAGCAACGCCGCGUGAGUGAUGAAGGUCUUCUGAUCGUAAAACUCUGUUAUUAGGGAAGAACAAAUGUGUAAGUAACUAUGCACGUCUUGACGGUACCUAAUCAGAAAGCCACGGCUAACUACGUG